CAGCCGCCGCGGGAAUACGGAGGGUGCGAGCGUUAAUCGGAAUUACUGGGCGUAAAGCGUACGCAGGCGGUUUGUUAAGUCAGAUGUGAAAUCCCCGAGCUUAACUCGGGAACUGCAUUUGGAACUGGCAGGCUAGAGUCUCGUAGAGGGGGGUAGAAUUCCAGGUGUAGCGGUGAAAUGCGUAGAGAUCUGGAGGAAUACCGGUGGCGAAGGCGGCCCCCUGGACGAAGACUGACGCUCAGGUACGAAAGCGUGGGGAGCAAACAGGAUUAGAUACCCCGGUAGUCCCUGUCUCUUAUAC
RNAcentral lists this ribosomal RNA (301 nucleotides) under uncultured bacterium. Its description in RNAcentral is "partial 16S ribosomal RNA". It matches the Rfam family "Bacterial small subunit ribosomal RNA", at positions 509 to 807 of the family's 1533-position model. The record is from RNAcentral.